UUUUAAAUAUUUUUUGCUUAUUGCAAAAAAAAGAUCACUGUGCUGCAAGGCAUGCUCAUUUAGCUGAAGCAGCUCACCACCACAAACUUCCUUUCACAAACUCCUGGAUUUCCUUCAUGCUUUUUCAUUCCUCUCCCGGGAAAUACAAUUGUCUCUUAGAUGUCAGCGUUUAGAUAAAAUGAUGAUAAAUGCUAUACAAAAGACAAAGGAAUCCAGAAUACAUGUGAUGGGAAAGAAUUAGUCCUUUGCAACUCAUGGUGAUUAGAAGUUUCAUAGUACUUCUGGAAAUCAUUGGUGUGGUCACUCUCCUCUCCUGGCCAAACUUCAAGCAAGACAGCAUGCUGCCAGCUUUACCUUACAUGGCUUUCUACGGACUGGGAAUGCCAAAUACCAGCUACUAUAUGCCUUACAGUGGCCUGUGUAGAAAUACCUAAAACGCAGCUGGAUGUCGAUAGGUCCGGUGACAUGGUGUUACACCGAAAGGAGCUUUAGACUACCCAAGAUGCUGGCAGGAUUCUUAGCUUCUUUCAUAAAGGAGAGUAAGCUAAAGUUAUGCUCAGAUAUCCUUAGGAUUCAGCAAUCAACAAUCCAAAGCAAGGCAAGCCUGAAAAGAAGGAUCAUCCUUAAUCCACUGUUUAUGACUGCGCAUUGCUAGAGACACAGGAGCGCUCUUUAUUUUGCAUUAAAAAAGAAACGGUUUUCAA
Dromaius novaehollandiae (emu) is the source of this 704-nucleotide long non-coding RNA. RefSeq lists it as uncharacterized. The transcript has 2 exons. The record is from RefSeq and is a predicted model, not a curated record. Lineage: Eukaryota; Metazoa; Chordata; Aves; Casuariiformes; Dromaiidae.